This 345-nucleotide long non-coding RNA is filed under the name Lathyrus oleraceus (garden pea). RNAcentral describes it as "Pisum sativum (pea) long non-coding RNA (PSAT_LNC019161)". Lineage: Eukaryota; Viridiplantae; Streptophyta; Magnoliopsida; Fabales; Fabaceae. The record is from RNAcentral.
GUUUAUAUAUUUAAGUUAGUAUUAAAAUAACAAUUAGUUGGUAAGUGGUCUGGUGGAGGGGAGUGGUGUCUAGGUCUUUAGUGUAUUGGGUUCAAUUCCCCUAUGUGUAGUUUUUUUUCUUUUAACAUUUUCUUUUAUAUUUAUGCUUUAUUACUCAUAGUUUUUAUUAUUGUUUAAUAAUAUAGAUUUGUUUUUCUUUUAAUUGCAUCAUGUGUUCGAAACCAUUUGAAAACUAUAAAAAUCAUACUUUUCUCGAUUUAAUAUCGAGCUCAUUUUCACACCCUUGUAAGUCGAUUGCUUUUAAGCAUCGCCAUCAACCUCACAUAGCUUACUCUUGGGCUUUCU